AACGAACGCUGGCGGCGUGCUUAACACAUGCAAGUCGAGCGCGAAAGGGCUUCGGCCUGAGUAGAGCGGCGCACGGGUGAGUAACACGUGGGUAAUCUACCCUUCAGCGGGGGAUAAUCGCCCGAAAGGGCGUCUAAUACCGCAUAAGACCACGGGGGCUUUGGCUCCAGGGGUUAAAGGUGGCCUCUGUUUACAAGCUACCACUGAAGGAUGAGCUCGCGGCGCAUCAGCUAGUUGGUGAGGUAAUGGCUCACCAAGGCUUAGACGCGUAGCUGGUCUGAGAGGAUGAUCAGCCACACCGGAACUGAGACACGGUCCGGACACCUACGGGUGGCAGCAGUGGGGAAUAUUGGACAAUGGGCGCAAGCCUGAUCCAGCAACGCCGCGUGAGUGAUGAAGGCCUUCGGGUCGUAAAGCUCUGUGGGGAGGAGCGAAAUACUCUGACCUAACACGUCAGGGGGUUGACGGUACCUCCUUAGCAAGCACCGGCUAACCACGUGCCAGCAGCCGCAG
Molecule: ribosomal RNA, 513 nt
Filed under: uncultured bacterium
Lineage: Bacteria
Description: bacterial SSU rRNA
Rfam family: Bacterial small subunit ribosomal RNA
Source: RNAcentral